GCGGAUGUAGUUCAAAGGUAGAACACCAGCUUGCCAGGUUGGUGGUGAGGGUUCGAUUCCCUUCGUCCGCC
Molecule: transfer RNA, 71 nt
Filed under: Paenibacillus polymyxa SC2
Lineage: Bacteria; Bacillati; Bacillota; Bacilli; Caryophanales; Paenibacillaceae
Rfam family: tRNA
About the family: Transfer RNA (tRNA) molecules are approximately 80 nucleotides in length. Their secondary structure includes four short double-helical elements and three loops (D, anti-codon, and T loops). Further hydrogen bonds mediate the characteristic L-shaped molecular structure. tRNAs have two regions of fundamental functional importance: the anti-codon, which is responsible for specific mRNA codon recognition, and the 3' end, to which the tRNAs corresponding amino acid is attached (by aminoacyl-tRNA synthetases). tRNAs cope with the degeneracy of the genetic code in two manners: having more than one tRNA (with a specific anti-codon) for a particular amino acid; and 'wobble' base-pairing, i.e. permitting non-standard base-pairing at the 3rd anti-codon position.
Source: Rfam by way of RNAcentral